This 450-nucleotide ribosomal RNA is filed under the name uncultured bacterium. Its description in RNAcentral is "bacterial SSU rRNA". It matches the Rfam family "Bacterial small subunit ribosomal RNA", at positions 28 to 458 of the family's 1533-position model. The record is from RNAcentral.
GAUGAACGCUGGCGGCGUGCUUAACACAUGCAAGUCGAACGAAGCACUCUACUUGAUUUCCUUCGGGAUUGAUUGUUCUGUGACUGAGUGGCGGACGGGUGAGUAACGCGUGGAUAACCUGCCUCACACAGGGGGAUAACAGUUGGAAACGGCUGCUAAUACCGCAUAAGCGCACAGCACCGCAUGGUGCAGUGUGAAAAACUCCGGUGGUGUGAGAUGGAUCCGCGUCUGAUUAGCUUGUUGGCGGGGUAACGGCCCACCAAGGCGACGAUCAGUAGCCGGCCUGAGAGGGCGACCGGCCACAUUGGGACUGAGACACGGCCCAGACUCCUACGGGAGGCAGCAGUGGGGAAUAUUGCACAAUGGGGGAAACCCUGAUGCAGCGACGCCGCGUGAGCGAUGAAGUAUUUCGGUAUGUAAAGCUCUAUCAGCAGGGAAGAUAAUGACGGU